Long non-coding RNA from Nematostella vectensis (starlet sea anemone), 387 nucleotides. RefSeq lists it as uncharacterized. Lineage: Eukaryota; Metazoa; Cnidaria; Anthozoa; Actiniaria; Edwardsiidae. The transcript is spliced from 2 exons. The record is from RefSeq and is a predicted model, not a curated record.
UCCACACAACUAACACUAGAAUAUCCCCAUGAAAGGUAGAUCCACACACAACUAACACUAGAAAUAUCCCCAUGAAAGGUAGAUCCACACACAACUAACACUAGAAUAUUUCCAUAUAAGGUAGAUCCACACACAACUAACACUAGAAUAUCCCCAUGAAAGGUAGAUCCACACACAACUAACACUAGGAAUAUCCCCAUGAAAGGUAGAUCCACACACAACUAACACUAGAAUAUUUCCAUAUAAGGUAGAUCCACACACAACUAACACUAGAAUAUCCCCAUGAAAGGUAGAUUUACACACAACUAACACUAGGAAUAUCUCCAUGAAAGGUAGAUCCACACACAACUAACACUAGAAUAUCCCCAUGAAAGGUAGAUCCACACA